RNAcentral lists this ribosomal RNA (253 nucleotides) under uncultured bacterium. Its description in RNAcentral is "partial 16S ribosomal RNA". It matches the Rfam family "Bacterial small subunit ribosomal RNA", at positions 524 to 776 of the family's 1533-position model. The record is from RNAcentral.
UACGUAGGGUGCGAGCGUUGUCCGGAAUUACUGGGCGUAAAGAGCUCGUAGGUGGUUUGUCGCGUUGUUCGUGAAAACCGGGGGCUUAACCUCUGGCGUGCGGGCGAUACGGGCAGACUGGAGUACUGCAGGGGAGACUGGAAUUCCUGGUGUAGCGGUGGAAUGCGCAGAUAUCAGGAGGAACACCGGUGGCGAAGGCGGGUCUCUGGGCAGUAACUGACGCUGAGGCGCGAAAGCCAGGGGAGCAAACGGG